This is a long non-coding RNA of Anolis carolinensis (green anole), 3006 nucleotides long. RefSeq lists it as uncharacterized. NCBI's taxonomy places the organism in Eukaryota, Metazoa, Chordata, Lepidosauria, Squamata, Anolidae. The record is from RefSeq and is a predicted model, not a curated record. The transcript has 3 exons.
CCUUCAUGGUAUUCACUUCUGGUGGCAAGUGAUGCCUUUGGAAGCUGUUUACAGGAAGUUUUUUAAGAAUGUGCUGCAUUCUCUGUAUGUCUUGCUAUUUAAUGGAUGUGCUUAUAAAUUUGUUUUAAUUAUAUUUUACUGUCCAUGUGAUUAAUGUUAUGCCUGUUUCAAUUUUUCUUGUAGACCCGCCUUGAGUCCCAGGGCUCAAGGGACUGCAAAAUGAUGGGCCAUCUAAUGCACAUUGACUGCCCUGUGUCAGGGAAACUUGAGGAAGAGGAAAUAAUACUACCACCAGCAACCUGCUUUGGUUCAAGCUGGAUGCCCUCCUUCCCUAACACAGAGCCACUGAGGCCAAGUGCACGUCUGCAGAGCUGCUGCCGACUGGGAAGAGCUCUCAGGCGUGUACUGUUGUUUGGGGAAUUCAGACAGCUUUGCUUCACACAAGUCAUCAGUCACUCCAGGGACUUCAUGCUGUAUUAUUUGCUAUUCUGAUGAUGUAAUUUGCUGUUUCCCGAAUUCUGGUCUUCAGCUCCCAGAACCCUGAUCAUUGGCUAGGAUGAUCAGGCCAAUGAAAUUCUAACUGAUGAGACUUUUUUUGGAUGAUAUGAAGGGGACUUUCAGCUAAAUCCAGUGCAUCAUUUUAUGGCCAGACACCAUCAGAGACAGACUACUAUGGCCCACAAAAACCUGUCCUAUUUGCCCCAGAGGUGGCACUUGGACCUAAAAUGACUCCUAUUGCUUGACAAAUUUUGAGAACCACUGCAUUAAUUUUCUUCAAAGAACAGGUAAUUAUACUGUCAUAUAUUCUUGCUAAAUCACAGUAUCGUCAUAGGUAUCACAGCUGUACAGAAGGACUAAUUGCUUAGACCUCCCCAACUCAGUUUUGUCCUAUGGGCUUACCAAUGACAAAAGAUACUUGUUCUUGGCUUCUCUUGAUACAAUAUCUGCUGGUGUCGACUAUGUUUUGAUUUUUCAGAAUCCCUUGUUAGCUAGCUAUUAGAAACAGGAAUUGCAGUUCUGUCUUUACAACAGAAAAGGAAUUUUUUAGGCCUUCACGUGUUCUUGGGCUUCUGCUCUUAGCAUCACAUACAUUAUUGGCUAAGCUAAUCCUACUUGGCUGAAGAAACAUUUCAGCAACAUACACAGGCCAAUUUUGCCCUAUCAUGACACAGAUGGGGAGGACACAGAAACCAGUGUUUUCAAGGCACAGACACUCACAUUCACAUUAGAAAUUUGAAGAACAAUUUCUUAUCAUUCAAAAAGUUCAAUUAAUCCCUUGAGAAAGCAGUAUACUUGUCUACAUCCAAACAGUUGGAUUUCUCAUCUCCUGUCUAUUUUGUCAUCACUGAAUUUCCCAUCACAUUGAAUAACAGGCAUUGGAUAUCUGAACACAGAAUUGCAUAGGCCUUGAAUAUCAGGUUUGGAAAUUUUCCACUGGAAUUGUCAAUUAAUAUGAUUGUGUUUUAUUCCUCAAAAAAGGAUCCUUCAUAAUGGAAAAGUGAACAUUCCACUUAGCUAAGAAGAGUGUCUAGCCAUGAGGAACAGUUAAUAUAGAAUAGGUGAGCUGAAUACCUAUCCUGAAGAGAUAUCAAGCUGAGUAAAUGGUUAACCAUGUAAGGCAUUUUAGCAUUGCAAAGCAUGCAGCCUUACCUUGGAAAACACCUUGCAGAAUGUCUAUUUAAAGUUAAUGACCCCGGCCUUACAAGCAGAUCCUUCUCGUUUUAAAAAUAUGUGCAUUAAAGUAGGACUACUUUGCAGAAGUAGGUGGUUUUCAGUUGUGCACAUGCAGCAAAGCAUCCUGACUGGCCACAUUUAAGAAAAACAAGGCAACUCCUACACCCAAAUAACUUUUUAUAUGUGAAAUAUCCUUAAAUUGAUUCUAUACUGCACAAAUGAGCCAGCAUGGCGUAGUCAAAGUAUUGGACUACAACUAUCAAGAUUAGGAUUCAAAUCAUUGCUUGACCACUGGGUGGCUUUAGGCAAGUCAUACUCUUUCAGCCUCAGAGAAAAGUAAAAAAAAAAACAAAAAAAAACAUCUGAACUAAUCUUGCCAAGAAAAGACAGGGACACCAUAAAUUGACUUGAAUGCAUGCAACAAGAAUUCCAGAUAAACUGAGAACAAGGGCACGAACAGAACAUGGGAAAAUGUUCUAAAUUAACAAGUUUUCAUUUGAAAUAAGCCUCCAGAUGUUGCUGUGUUGCAACUCCCAUUAUUCAUUAAUAUAGACUAUCUUGACUCUGGCUGAUGGAGCAUGCAGUCAAUCUCCAUCUGGAAAACUGUGUGAGUCCCCCCAACUCUGAAGAGUAUUUUCUACACUCAUGUUUCAUGCCAGAGUAAAAUAAACUGAAGUGUGAAAAGCAGACAGGUGGCAUGACAAGAGAUUAUGAUGUCAACACUGCAGAGUCUGAUGUUAAGAUUCCAGCAUUCAUGCAAAGCCUAGACUUCGCUGGUGAGCAACUUCUGUGGAUUCAUCAGGGAGUCCACUGAAGUUCUUUGAAAAUGAGAACAAAAAACUCAUAUAAGAAGGGCUAAAUAGCAGAAUUGCCUCAAGCUAUUUAUCUCCUAGGAAAGAAAACUGAGAUCAAACAUGAAUUCUGCAACUCUGGAAGUGUUAAAAGUCCCAUCUAUACUGCCAUUAUAAUGCAGAUUUAACUGCAUUACAUGGUCAUACAAUUCAGUUCAAUGCAGUUAGUGUUAUAUGAGUCUAGGCAUCAUAUAAUGCAGGUCAAUCUGCAUUAUAAUGGCAGUAUAGAUGGGGCCAAAGAUAUUCUGUCUUUCUCCAGAAGAGACUGAAUGUUCACGAUAACCAUCUAUGGCAAUACAAAAUCUGUGGAAGAAUAACAAACUGAAUGUCUAACUAUCAAUGCAGUCCAAGACACAAAUGCACUCAUUUACUGUGUUUUAUAAAAAAAAAUAGUCUAAUCCUUAAUAUUCUGGGCAGGACUGGCUGCUACUGAAUAUGGCAAUUAAAACCUUUCUUGCCCUGUUCUAAUCACCAUUGCCUA